GGAAAAGAAACCAACAGGGAUUGCCUUAGUAACGGCGAGUGAAGCGGCAACAGCUCAAAUUUGAAAUCUGGCCCUCGGGUCCGAAUUGUAAUUUGUAGAGGAUGAUUUUGGUGCGGUAUCUUCCGAGUUCCUUGGAACAGGACGCCUUAGAGGGUGAGAGCCCCGUACGGUUGAAUGCCUAGCCUCUGUAAAUCUCCUUCGACGAGUCGAGUAGUUUGGGAAUGCUGCUCUAAAUGGGAGGUAAAUUUCUUCUAAAGCUAAAUAUUGGCCAGAGACCGAUAGCGCACAAGUAGAGUGAUCGAAAGAUGAAAAGCACUUUGAAAAGAGGGUUAAAUAGCACGUGAAAUUGUUGAAAGGGAAGGAUUUGUGACCAGACUUUUUCUGGGCGGAUCAUCCGGGGUUCUCUCCGGUGCACUUUGCCCAGUAAAGGCCAGCAUCGAUUUUCGGCGGCGGAUAAAAGCAGUGGGAAUGUGGCUCCCUACGGGGAGUGUUAUAGCCCAUUGUAUAAUACGCUGCUGGGGAUCGAGGUACGCGCUUCUGCAAGGAUGCUGGCGUAAUGGUUAUCAAUCACCCG
This 574-nucleotide ribosomal RNA is filed under the name Pestalotiopsis sp. Its description in RNAcentral is "eukaryotic LSU rRNA". It matches the Rfam family "Eukaryotic large subunit ribosomal RNA", at positions 55 to 651 of the family's 3401-position model. Lineage: Eukaryota; Fungi; Ascomycota; Sordariomycetes; Amphisphaeriales; Sporocadaceae. The record is from RNAcentral.